CCGCCCGCCCGGCCUGCCCAGCCGUGGGAGCUGCCAGCUCGCUCCUCGCCCUCCCGCUGCCCGCAGGCCCUGCCAGGCUGGGCGCAAGAAAGCGUGUUUACUAACACCAUCCGCACGGCUCCCUGGGCACCGCGGCUCUGCCCAGAAGAUGUCAGGCCCCGGGCACCGGGAGAACACUUUGUAGGUACCAGGAAUCCAGACAUAGGCCAAGGAGGACCCAGGCUUCCCAAGAACACUUUGUCUACACACGGUACAGGUGGCUACCUGGCUGGAUUCUGUUCCAUGCCUACCCUGAGCGGAGACCUGUCCCUUCAGGCUCUUAAGACACACAUUCCACCGCCCCGCCCCCAAUGAGCCAAAGACCUGGGUUCCAUCCUGCAUGCAGCUCCCCAUCGCUCCUGGGAUAUCAUCCAAACUUGACAUGGUUGGCAAGGCUGUUCAUAAUCUGCCUCCUGUCUGCCUCUCCCGCCUCAUGCCUCCACCAUGCCAGGCCACAGCCUGGGCCGCAGCCAAACUGAAUUCCACCUGGUGUCUUUGCUUGGCCUCUAGCUUCAUAUCACCGUUUCCUGUACCUGGAAGCCUCUUUCCCACCCGGGGAAGAGGACUUGGUCCCUCCAUCCCCACCCUUCCAGUGCCUUUCACAGAAGGGCAUCAUGGCCUUGUGUUCACAGAGGGGGCGCUUUCCCGGGCUGUGGAGAGGAGAGAGAGUCAGGGAAGUUGUCUUCCAAGAGACAACAACUCCCUGGGUCUUGUUCUGUUUCUUGCUAGAAGAACUGACUGGCUGGCGGAUGGUUGUGGAGGAGACUUCCACGCUGAAAUGCAUGGGAGGCCAGAUCUCCUUCCGGAGGGGCUCAGACUACUGCUCAGACUACAAUUGCCCACGACCACUUCUGAGCCCCACAGCUGGACAAACCCAGGGUCAGAACGGGCAGUGUGUCUGGCUCUCGACGCUGGUGACUUUGAUAAAAGACAACUGUGGAUGUUUGGAAAUACCAGGAAAUACCAAGACAAUUUGAAAGAGGUCCCAAACAUCAACUUAAGGAGGAAAGCUUCGUAACCACUUGGGGCCAAUGGAGCCAGAAGACAAGAGUCAUGGGCAUUUUGUCAUUUUCUGAUUGGAGAUUUGAGAAGGCUUCCACAGGAGAAAUCAUACUCUCCGGGAAGAUAGGAGUCCAAGUCUCCUGGUCUUCGGCUGGUGACCUCAGACAAGCCUUGACCUCUCCGAGUGAGCCUCAGUCUCCUCCUCUGUGUAAAGUCUACAUAGUCCUUAAAAGCCCUUCCCUGUCUCACAUUGUUAGAACCUCUUUUUUGGAACUCAACAUUCACCCCCAUUGUGGCUGAAACGCCAGAGUCAUGACUGUAAGAUUUUCAGUAGAAAAAAGGAUUAAAUUAAAACAAAUAAUUUGCACUUGGAUACACAACCCCAAAUGAUCAACAGGAUCACACAGCUUGACAGCAACCCAUCAUUUAGACAAAGAUGUGUGAAAUCAAGAGACGUUGAAAAUAAAAAAAUAAAAAAAUAAAAAAGAGACGUUGAAAAU
Canis lupus familiaris (dog) is the source of this 1541-nucleotide long non-coding RNA. RefSeq lists it as uncharacterized. The record is from RefSeq and is a predicted model, not a curated record. Lineage: Eukaryota; Metazoa; Chordata; Mammalia; Carnivora; Canidae. The transcript has 3 exons.